RNAcentral lists this long non-coding RNA (270 nucleotides) under Elaeis guineensis (African oil palm). RNAcentral describes it as "long non-coding RNA (EGUI_LNC068684)". The record is from RNAcentral. Lineage: Eukaryota; Viridiplantae; Streptophyta; Magnoliopsida; Arecales; Arecaceae.
GGCAGAAUGUGGUAGACCUGCUAACCAAGCCUCUCAGCUAGCAAAAGACCGAAGCUCACCUUGAGAAAAUGGGUCUUAGGUAUAUGGCCAAUUGGCUUUAGGUCAAGCAGGAGUUUGUUAGAUGAGUACUUUAAAAGCUAAUUAUUGGUUGAUAUAUUUUAUAAUUUUAGAGCUUAACUUUAUAUUUAUAAUAAUUUUAUUAUUAAUAAAAGAUUUUUUAUUUUCAAUCAUGUUUAUGUAUCUAUGAUUUGUUCUAAAAAUUAACAAAGA